AGCUGCCGACUCAUCCAUUCA
Molecule: microRNA, 21 nt
Filed under: Zea mays
Lineage: Eukaryota; Viridiplantae; Streptophyta; Magnoliopsida; Poales; Poaceae
Description: microRNA miR-3110
Source: RNAcentral